AUAGCCAAACAUAUCUUUGCCAACUCAAACUUCACUCCAAUUAAUACAAAUAACGGAUAAUGAGAAAAAGGUUGAGAAGUAACCCAUUUCAAAAUUUUAAUCCAAUAUUAAAAUGAAUUCAAAAUCAUUGUUCACAGAUGAACGCCAUAAACAUAUAUACAACAACAUUAAAAAAUUAUUCAAACAAAUGGAGAAGAAAGUAACCCAAAAAUUGAAAAUUUACAAAACCAUUUUCUUUCCCAAAUGCCCAGUAAGAAUGUUGCAAGAUUUUAUUGCUCACUUCAACCAAAUGAGUGUUCAAGGAAAAGGGAAUGUAAAGUUUAUGAUUUCAUUAAGUAUAGAAAAAUGAUGAUGAGAAAAUGAAAGGGGUUGCUUUGUAGAGCCGAUUUUUGAAGAGCAAAUGAAAGGUAAAAUUAAAUUAGGGUUAAAUGGAAAUUGAAAUGGGAAUUAGGACAAUAAUGUGUUUUUGUAUAGAAGGACAUUUUAGCCAUUUACAAAUUAUAUUUUUCGUUUUUCUUUUUCAUUUUCUUUAAAACAUAUUUAGGCCUUCUAACUAAAAAACAUAGUUAGGGAACUUUUUAAACUAAUAUUUUGUUUGACCAGCCCCUUUAAAUGAAGUCCUUAAUCUUUUUGAAACCCAUCUUAAUUUUCCUAAGAAGUGCCAUUUUGACGGAUCAAAAUUUCUAGGGUUUUGAUUUUUAAAUGCUGUUAUUCAAUAACUGAAAUCAUUUGAAGAAUAUACUGAAUCAAAAGAAAAUAGAUUACUUAGAUGGAUCCUAGAAGCUAAAAAUCUAGAUUACUGACAAUACAUGUGGGCUCAAGGCACUUAAUCAUUGUUCUAAUUUAUAAUUGACUGAUAUAAUUGUGGAUUGAUGUUGAGGAUCAAAGGAAACUUACAGUAGACUUCAGACACAAAGAGAUAGUCGAUGCGAAUUUCACUUCAGCUCAUAUCCCAUUCUUGUGCAAUGAUCCUUUCUUGUUUCAAUUUAUGGGAUGAGGGAAGAUCACUGGUGCCGAACAAGCUAGCUAGGGUACGAGUUCGUUUAAAGUAUUAGUAAUAGAUUCUAACUGGCACUGGUAAAUCUAAAACUAAUCCAAAUCUUGAGCCCUUCGUCCCAGCAUCCCGACCAUUGAUGACUUCUUUGCAGUAACGCCUCUACGCUCCUGCGAAUUAUUUGAGGAAGCUAAUGUUGAAAACAAGAAAGUGGAAAAAUUUGGGAAGAAAGAAAAGACACAAGAAAGACUAAAAGGAAAAUGACUGCGCGUGUCAGAUGGGAAUUGAGCAGUCAAAUUGAAUAGUAAAGACAACAAUAGCAUCGUUUUGA
RNAcentral lists this long non-coding RNA (1325 nucleotides) under Olea europaea subsp. europaea. Lineage: Eukaryota; Viridiplantae; Streptophyta; Magnoliopsida; Lamiales; Oleaceae. The record is from RNAcentral.